Molecule: long non-coding RNA, 310 nt
Filed under: Phascolarctos cinereus (koala)
Lineage: Eukaryota; Metazoa; Chordata; Mammalia; Diprotodontia; Phascolarctidae
Description: lncRNA (ENSPCIG00000001529.2)
Source: RNAcentral
GGUUUUCUUAGGCCUCAUCUGCUACUACUGAUGCAUCCAGUUCAGAAGAACAAGUUUUGAUAUGGAUUAUUACUUUAAAAAUCCAUCUAUGGCCAUAUAAAAAGAAGCACAAGUUGAGCAUUUAACAACAGGAAAAAGAAAAACUACUCGGGAAUAAGCAUCCUACUUUUAACAGGAAGGAAACCUAUUUCAUUUUUAAGAUCUGCUGUUGCAUCCUGACAUCACCAUUUGUUGGCCUUGUCACUCACAGGUAAAUCACUUAAUUUGAUAAUUUAGAAUCUCAGUAUCCAUAUCUAAAAAAAUGGGGAUC